GGGGGGGGGUGGGGGGGGGGGUCGGGCGAGGGCGUCGGGGGGGCGGGGCCUGCGUGUGUGGGGUGGUCGCGUGGGGCGAGGGUGAGUAGCCGGGGCGUGACCUGCCGUUGACUUUGGGAUGGGUUGAGGAACCUCGGGGUAAUCCGGGAUAGGCGCUGGUGCUGCGUGGGGGGGUGUGUACAGGUUCUGAGGUGGGGGAUGUACGCGCGGCUGAUACGCGUGUUGGUGGGGGAGUCGUUUACCAAUGCUUGGACGGGGAGCCGGCCUGAGAGGGUGACCGGCCACAUUGGGACUGAGAUACGGCCCAGACUCCUACGGGAGGAAGCAGUGGGGAAUAUUGCACAAUGGGCGGAAGCCUGAUGCAGCAACGCCGCGUGCGGGAUGACGGCCUUCGGGUUGUAAACCGCUUUCGCCUGUGACGAAGCGUGAGUGACGGUAAUGGGUAAAGAAGCACCGGCUAACUACGUG
Molecule: ribosomal RNA, 468 nt
Filed under: uncultured bacterium
Lineage: Bacteria
Description: partial 16S ribosomal RNA
Rfam family: Bacterial small subunit ribosomal RNA (bases 58-468)
Source: RNAcentral